UCCGUAGGUGAACCUGCGGAGGGAUCAUUACCGAGUUUACAACUCCCAAACCCAAUGUGAACGUUACCAAACUGUUGCCUCGGCGGGAUCUCUGCCCCGGGUGCGUCGCAGCCCCGGACCAAGGCGCCCGCCGGAGGACCAACCAAAACUCUUUUUGUAUACCCCCUCGCGGGUUUUUUUAUAAUCUGAGCCUUCUCGGCGCCUCUCGUAGGCGUUUCGAAAAUGAAUCAAAACUUUCAACAACGGAUCUCUUGGUUCUGGCAUCGAUGAAGAACGCAGCGAAAUGCGAUAAGUAAUGUGAAUUGCAGAAUUCAGUGAAUCAUCGAAUCUUUGAACGCACAUUGCGCCCGCCAGUAUUCUGGCGGGCAUGCCUGUCCGAGCGUCAUUUCAACCCUCGAACCCCUCCGGGGGGUCGGCGUUGGGGAUCGGCCCUGCCUCUUGGCGGUGGCCGUCUCCGAAAUACAGUGGCGGUCUCGCCGCAGCCUCUCCUGCGCAGUAGUUUGCACACUCGCAUCGGGAGCGCGGCGCGUCCACAGCCGUUAAACACCCAACUUCUGAAAUGUUGACCUCGGAUCAGGUAGGAAUACCCGCUGAACUUAAGCAUAUCAAUAAGCGGAGGAA
This 621-nucleotide ribosomal RNA is filed under the name Trichoderma harzianum. Its description in RNAcentral is "eukaryotic LSU rRNA". The stretch from base 232 to 385 matches the Rfam family "5.8S ribosomal RNA". Lineage: Eukaryota; Fungi; Ascomycota; Sordariomycetes; Hypocreales; Hypocreaceae. The record is from RNAcentral.